Molecule: ribosomal RNA, 293 nt
Filed under: uncultured Pseudomonas sp.
Lineage: Bacteria; Pseudomonadati; Pseudomonadota; Gammaproteobacteria; Pseudomonadales; Pseudomonadaceae
Description: partial 16S ribosomal RNA
Rfam family: Bacterial small subunit ribosomal RNA
Source: RNAcentral
AACGAGCGCAACCCUUGUCCUUAGUUACCAGCACGUUAAGGUGGGGCACUCUAAGGAGACUGCCGGUGACAAACCGGAGGAAGGUGGGGAUGACGUCAAGUCAUCAUGGCCCUUACGGCCUGGGCUACACACGUGCUACAAUGGUCGGUACAAAGGGUUGCCAAGCCGCGAGGUGGAGCUAAUCCCAUAAAACCGAUCGUAGUCCGGAUCGCAGUCUGCAACUCGACUGCGUGAAGUCGGAAUCGCUAGUAAUCGUGAAUCAGAAUGUCACGGUGAAUACGUUCCCGGGCCUU